RNAcentral lists this transfer-messenger RNA (404 nucleotides) under Patescibacteria group. Its description in RNAcentral is "GWB1-38-13 sp000993685 Standard tmRNA". It matches the Rfam family "transfer-messenger RNA". Rfam says of the family: Bacterial tmRNA, also known as 10Sa RNA or SsrA, is named for its dual tRNA and mRNA-like properties. Its role is to liberate the mRNA from a stalled ribosome. The record is from RNAcentral.
GGGGAUGAUCGGUUUCGACGGAUCGCACCUUUACAAUCUGCAAGCCAAGUUUGAUAGAAACUUGUAAAAACUAUCGAAAAAUAAAAGCUGAUAAUAAAAAUUUCAGCCCGGCUUUAGCGUUUAAUACGCUCUUUGGUGGAAUGGGGCAACCCGCUUACCAAACUGUGUUAGCUUAAAAGUUGGUGUCGCUCUGUUUGCUUCUCUUUCGAACAGAAUCGGCAUAAACCCAUAGAGAUAGACUUUAAAUUCCUGAUUUUGGAUUUGAAGUUGAAAAUUUAAAAUCUUACUUUAAAUCAUCCUUCCGGUAGGUAAGGUUUAAGGGAAAAUAAAAAGAUCGGAUAAGCUUGUAGAGGAUUGUAAUGAAUGCUUUUCGGACGAGGGUUCAAUUCCCUCCAUCUCCACAC